RNAcentral lists this long non-coding RNA (399 nucleotides) under Phoenix dactylifera (date palm). RNAcentral's name for it is "long non-coding RNA (PDAC_LNC019680)". Lineage: Eukaryota; Viridiplantae; Streptophyta; Magnoliopsida; Arecales; Arecaceae. The record is from RNAcentral.
UGCAUGGUAAUAGAUAAAUAGACACAAUAAUUAAUAAACAGUUCAGUUUCAUUGAUCAAAAUGGAACAUUGUAGUACAUUAAUGCCAAAACAAAACAAAUACAAUAUUCCUCAAUCAAAGUACAAAGUACAUGAUCAAUCACACAAAGUACAUGAUCAAUCACAAAAUACAUAUGAGAACUAGAUAAAUCCUAAGCACUAAUACCAAAAGUGCUAACAUCAGCCUAGGGGGUAUCUAAUGGUUGUGAUCUAGUCCUCAUCCUCCGAGCAUAUGUGGCGAGGGGAGGUCGGGCCUGAUGGGACUGAGUCUGGCGUGGAGCUCGGUGAGCUGGAUGACUCUGUGCCGAAAUCUCUGACUCAGCUGCCUGGGGCACAGAUGGUCCAUGAACCUCUCUCUCUC